This 239-nucleotide ribosomal RNA is filed under the name uncultured bacterium. RNAcentral describes it as "partial 16S ribosomal RNA". It matches the Rfam family "Bacterial small subunit ribosomal RNA", at positions 95 to 334 of the family's 1533-position model. The record is from RNAcentral.
CCGGCGCACGGGUGAGUAACGCGUAUCCAACCUUCCCAUUACUGUGGGAUAACCUGCCGAAAGGCAGACUAAUACCGCAUAGUCUUCGAUGACGGCAUCAGAUUUGAAGUAAAGAUUUAUCGGUAAUGGAUGGGGAUGCGUCUGAUUAGCUUGUUGGCGGGGUAACGGCCCACCAAGGCAACGAUCAGUAGGGGUUCUGAGAGGAAGGUCCCCCACAUUGGAACUGAGACACGGUCCAA